GACGAACGCUGGCGGCGUGCUUAACACAUGCAAGUCGAACGGUAAGGCCCUUCGGGGUACACGAGAGGCGAACGGGUGAGUCACACGUGGGCGAUCUGCCCUGCACUUCGGGAUACGGAUGGGAAACUGGGUCUAACAUCGGAUAGGACUUCUGCCCGCCUGGGAGGUGGCGGAAAGAUUUUGCGGUGUGGGAUGGGCCCGCGGCCUAUCAGCUUGUUGGUGGGGUGAUGGCCUACCAAGGCGACGACGGGUAACCGGCCUGCAGAGGGUGACCGGCCACACUGGGACUGAGAUACGGCCCAGACUCCUACGGGAGGCAGCAGUGGGGAAUAUUGCACAAUGGGCGCAAGCCUGAUGCAGCGACGCCGCGUGAGGGAUGACGGCCUUCGGGUUGUAAACCUCUUUCAGCACCGACGAAGCGCAAGUGACGGUAGGUGCAGAAGAAGGACCGGCCAACUACGUGCCAGCCGCCGCGGUAA
Molecule: ribosomal RNA, 479 nt
Filed under: uncultured bacterium
Lineage: Bacteria
Description: partial 16S ribosomal RNA
Rfam family: Bacterial small subunit ribosomal RNA
Source: RNAcentral